GGGGGAUUCACUGUUAUACUUGGAGGCCAUGUCACCUGAGAGUCAAUGGGCAACGAUCAAAUUUCACCUUGAGCAGAUUCUUUUGUUUGCUUUUUAGUCACAAAUAGCUUGGCCCUAAGUGGUGGCUCCCAUUCUUGUAAGAUGCGUUUAUUCAUCGUGUAAUCACCAGUUCCCUGUAGUGGGGGCGUGGAUGGAGUGUCAGAGGCUCCUGCUGGUCUUUAGGGUGUCUGGCCUCCAGGAAUCCUAGAGGUAGUAUUUGGAGAGAUUUUUAAAAGCUUUGUUUCUGUGACCAGCAAAACCUGGAUUUGACACUGAGGUCAGCCCGUUUCAGCCAGUGACGUAACCUGUCUUUUUGCCCCAGUAAAUUGGGAACUACAGCACUCGAUGUUAGAGUUGUCGUGAAGAUUAAAGAAGGUGACGACUGGACAACUCCCAGCCCAAUACCUGAAACUGUACCAGCACCCAGUGAGCACUGCUAUUCCUGUGACUGCUGCACAUUUGCCUUAUCUCAGCAGUAUGCCUGUGUCACUUUUUUGGCACUCUUUUCUCAUGGGUACAUUCAGAGAAGAGGAAUGUUUGUUCACUGGUGAAGAGAACAUCCCGUGUACUAUCGUGUAGAAGUUGUAGUAGACGCUGUGGUCUUUCCAACAACAAACAAACCUCGUGCCAGCAACUUAAAUCUAUCAGCAAUGGAGAAUGCCUGGCAUUGGCUUCUGCAUGAGUGCCGUUUUAGUUGCUUUGUAUUCUUCUACCUUGAUUUUUUUUUCUGUUUUUCUACAUGAGUGUUGCCUGCAGAGUUCCCUGAUUGACUCAAAGUACAUCUUCUAUAUUGCUUCAAGUAGUGCUGGUCAUGAACACAAUUCAGUCUUAGUCAGCUAUUGGAACUGAUUGACUGCAAAGUUCUGGUGCCUCUUCUCGCAGCCCAGGGCAGAUGGACGUGCUAUGUGGGGCCCGUACAAAACAGAAUCAUGGAGCUGGUGGGGCAAGGAGUCAACCUCCCUCCUAGGGCCUGCAGCCUCCACCAGGGCAGAGAGCAAGUUUCUCUCAGCUUCUGCUCUCAGGUGGUGACCUGGCAGGGAGGACAGCUUGGCAGUAGGUGCAGGCACUGGACGGGGACCUCCUGGCUCCUCUCCUAGCUCUUGCAGCACCAGCCAUAAGGCACUCAGAUCAUGCAACUUCCCGGUGUCUCCGUCUCUGCAUCUUUAAAAUGGGGCUAAUAAGAACACUUUUCUCAUAGACUUAUAAAGAGAAUUAAUUAAAAAAAAUAAUGCUUGGCUCAGAAUGUACACUCCAUGAACAUCACCUGUUACCACUUAAGAAGGGUGCGUACCCUCCAGCCGCAUCCAUGCCAGUUCCCGUUGUCUCACCCUGGGCCAGCGACACCCAUCUUAAGUCACAAUUGAGAAUACAAGCAAGACACGCUGAAAUCUACCAGAAUAAAGGUCCAUCUUCACAGAACAAGCCUGUUUACACUUGAACCCACAGUUUUUCAGUCAUAUCCAGACUUCAAGGAGGGAAGAGGGCUCCACCGCAGGCUUCCUGUAGCAAGCAUGGGGGCCAUAUCUGAGUCCCCUGUGGCGUUCUGUCACCAUAGACUGUGACUUUCAAACAGCACAGUCACUUCUCACAGUGUUAAAGGUCAGAAGUCCCAGAUCAAGGUUCUGGCAGAUCUGGUAUCUGCUGCUGGGACAGGACCCAGGAGGUUCCGGAGGAUCAGGAGGUCCACCUGGGAGAAGAGCUGAUCGGCUAGUAGGAGAGCUGGAAAAGCAACAGACACCUACUUAGUCCCUUCCCUGGGGCCCGGCUCCAGUCUGAGCUGUCACGCCACAGCAAAGGCAUCACUUCAGGACAGCAAAGCCCCUGUCUCCCUCCCUUCCAGCUCCUCAGACUUCACCCUGGUAACACGUUUGUUUAAAAAACAUAUUUUUCCCCCUUGUAAAGAAUCUAGGAUACAAGGGGUCAGCCCAGCAGUUUAGGUAUCAAGAAGAAACUGCUCUCGGAGCUAAAGUAAGAAACAGUGCCUGUCUAUAGCGCAAAUAAAGAGUUGGAACAAGAUAAAA
Molecule: long non-coding RNA, 2060 nt
Organism: Homo sapiens (human)
Lineage: Eukaryota; Metazoa; Chordata; Mammalia; Primates; Hominidae
Product: long intergenic non-protein coding RNA 2669
Source: Ensembl